GAAAUGCGAUAAGUAGUGUGAAUUGCAGAAUUCAGUGAAUCAUCGAAUCUUUGAACGCACAUUGCGCCCCUUGGUAUUCCAUGGGGCAUGCCUGUUCGAGCGUCAUCUUUCAUUGGCAGCGUUUCCUUGCCCCCCUCUCGCGCAGCACAUCGCGCUUCUCGAGGGCGGCUCCGGCACGCGACCCACGAAAGAUGACCACCGUCUUUGACCUCGGAUCAGGUAGGGAUACCCGCUGAACUUAA
Molecule: unclassified non-coding RNA, 242 nt
Filed under: uncultured Didymosphaeriaceae
Lineage: Eukaryota; Fungi; Ascomycota; Dothideomycetes; Pleosporales; Didymosphaeriaceae
Description: sequence contains ITS1
Rfam family: 5.8S ribosomal RNA (bases 1-105)
Source: RNAcentral